RNAcentral lists this ribosomal RNA (253 nucleotides) under uncultured bacterium. Its description in RNAcentral is "partial 16S ribosomal RNA". It matches the Rfam family "Bacterial small subunit ribosomal RNA", at positions 524 to 776 of the family's 1533-position model. The record is from RNAcentral.
CACGUAGGGGGCGAGCGUUGUCCGGAUUCAUUGGGCGUAAAGCGCGCGCAGGCGGCUUGGAAAGUCGGGUGUGAAAACUCGGGGCUCAACCCCGGGCGUGCAUCCGAUACUGCCAGGCUCGAGGCAGGUAGGGGAGAUCGGAAUUCCUGGUGUAGCGGUGAAAUGCGCAGAUAUCAGGAGGAACACCGGUGGCGAAGGCGGAUCUCUGGGCCUGUCCUGACGCUGAGGCGCGAAAGCUAGGGGAGCGAACAGG